RNAcentral lists this ribosomal RNA (331 nucleotides) under Staphylococcus aureus. RNAcentral's name for it is "partial 23S ribosomal RNA". It matches the Rfam family "Bacterial large subunit ribosomal RNA", at positions 231 to 558 of the family's 2925-position model. Lineage: Bacteria; Bacillati; Bacillota; Bacilli; Caryophanales; Staphylococcaceae. The record is from RNAcentral.
UCGAUUCCCUUAGUAGCGGCGAGCGAAACGGGAAGAGCCCAAACCAACAAGCUUGCUUGUUGGGGUUGUAGGACACUCUAUACGGAGUUACAAAGGACGACAUUAGACGAAUCAUCUGGAAAGAUGAAUCAAAGAAGGUAAUAAUCCUGUAGUCGAAAAUGUUGUCUCUCUUGAGUGGAUCCUGAGUACGACGGAGCACGUGAAAUUCCGUCGGAAUCUGGGAGGACCAUCUCCUAAGGCUAAAUACUCUCUAGUGACCGAUAGUGAACCAGUACCGUGAGGGAAAGGUGAAAAGCACCCCGGAAGGGGAGUGAAAUAGAACCUGAAACCG